Molecule: ribosomal RNA, 1199 nt
Filed under: uncultured marine diplonemid
Lineage: Eukaryota; Euglenozoa; Diplonemea
Description: SSU rRNA
Rfam family: Eukaryotic small subunit ribosomal RNA
Source: RNAcentral
GCACCCGCGGUAAUUCCAGCACCAAUAGCGUAUAUUAAUGCUGCUGCUGUUAAAAAGCUCGUAGUUGGAUCAAGAGUUGGACAGUGCACGGUGGCCCUGUUUGUUCGUCUGGCUCCGGUCAGGCGGGCGGCAGCGGAACAACCCCGUGCGCCAAACUGUCAACUCUAACAGACCGAAGCGGUUCCCUGUGAGUAGGCUCCUUAAUUGGGGCUGAAAGCGCCAACGCAUAAACCAUAUGCAUACGGGACGUCGGUCAAAGUUACUGUGAACAAACCAGCGUGUCCAAAGCAGGCUUUCGCCUGAAUGUUCGAGCAUGGAAUAACAAGGGAUCGAUUCCCUCGGUUCUUUUUGUUGGUUUUUAACCCGAGAAGGAGAAAUUCAGGCCACGGUGUCUGAGUUGGGUUUCCCUGGGCUUCGGCUCAGGCCCCAAUUAGGCCGUGUCCUUACGGGAUCAAUAGGGACUGACGGGGUCGUACCUACUUCCGCGUCAGAGGUGAAAUUCUUAGAUCGCGGGAAGAGGAACUUCUGCGAAAGCAUUCGACAAGAAUGUCUUCAUUAAUCAAGAACGAGAGUGUGGGGAUCGAAGAUGAUCAGAUACCGUCGUAGUCCACUACUGUAAACAAUGCCGUCUCAGGAUUGAGAAGUGAACAGAAUGACUUUCACAGCACUAACCCCUGAAACGAGAAAUCAAAGAUUAUGGGUUCAGGGGGGAGUACAUUCGCAAGGCUGAAACUUAAAGGAAUUGACGGAAUGACACCACAAGGCGUGGAGUAUGCGGCUUAAUUUGACUCAACACGGGGAAUUUUACUAGGUCAGGACAAUGUAAGGAUUGACAGAUUGAGAGCUCUUUCUCGAUCCAUUGUGUGGUGGUGCAUGGCCGCUCCUGGUUGGUGGAGUGAUUUGUCUGGUUGAUUCCGUUAACGAACGAGAUCUCGACCCUUAAAUAGGUGCGCAUGUCGAUUGUAGCUUCAUCUCCGCCGGCUUGCUGGAUUGGAGUGGGGCGAGACUGUGCGAAUACUUCUUAAGGGGACUGUGUGCGUCUCUAGCACGCGGAAGAGCGAGCCAAUAGCAGGUCUGUGAUGCUCCUAAAUGUCCUAGGCUGCACGCGCACUACACUGAUGCAAUAAACGAGUCUGAGUGCCUUCUGGCAACCUACCUGGAAGCGGGUGGGAAAUCUUUUGAACUUGCAUCGUGAUGAG